This 120-nucleotide non-coding RNA is filed under the name Gorilla gorilla gorilla (western lowland gorilla). Lineage: Eukaryota; Metazoa; Chordata; Mammalia; Primates; Hominidae. The record is from Rfam by way of RNAcentral.
GCCGGGCGCGGUGGCUCACGCCUGUAAUCCCAGCAGCACUUUGGGAGGCUGAGGCAGGUGGCUCACCUGAGGUCAGGAGUUUGAGACCAGCCUGGCCAACAUGGUGAAACCCUGUCUCUA